Molecule: ribosomal RNA, 774 nt
Filed under: uncultured Neocallimastigales
Lineage: Eukaryota; Fungi; Neocallimastigomycota; Neocallimastigomycetes; Neocallimastigales
Description: partial large subunit ribosomal RNA
Rfam family: Eukaryotic large subunit ribosomal RNA
Source: RNAcentral
AUGUGAUCGUCUCUCGCAUAUCAAUAAGCGGAGGAAAAGAAACUAACAAGGAUUCCCUUAGUAACGGCGAGUGAAGCGGGAAGAGCUCAAAUUUGAAAUCUUCAAGGUUUUACCUUGACGAAUUGUAGUUUAAAGAAGUGUUUUCUGUUGAAGUUUUGGUAAAAGUUCUUUGGAAUAGGACAUCAUAGAGGGUGAGAAUCCCGUAUUUGACCAUUAUUUUCAGCUGUGUGAUACACUUUCAAAGAGUCGGAUUGUUUGGGAAUGCAGUCCAAAAUGGGUGGUAAAUUUCAUUUAAAGCUAAAUAUUGGCGAGAGACCGAUAGCGAACAAGUACCGUGAGGGAAAGAUGAAAAGAACUUUGAAAAGAGAGUUAAACAGUACGUGAAAUUGUCAAAAGGGAAGCGUUUGACACCAGUGUUGUUUUCUCGAAAAUCAAUUAAAAAGAGUUAGAUUUUGUUGUGUAUUGACCUUAACAGCUUGCAUUUCAAUUUUCUUGCUUUUUUUAAUGCACUUUUCGUUUAACAAGUCAACAUCAGUUUCUUUUGUUGUAAAAAGGUCAUUGGAAGGUGGCUUUCUUUUCGGAGAAAGUGUUUAUAGCCUUUGACUCCUGCAAUCGGAGAGACUGAGGUCUGCAGCAUAGAUCCUUCGGGGUUAGAUACAUUUGUGCUAAGUUAGUAGCUUUUUAUAGACAACUUGUUGACUAUGAUUAGUCUUGUAGCUUACUCGCUUAUGCUAUUUUACCUACGCUUAGGAUGUUGAAGAUGUAGCACAUCAU